Molecule: ribosomal RNA, 345 nt
Filed under: uncultured bacterium
Lineage: Bacteria
Description: bacterial SSU rRNA
Rfam family: Bacterial small subunit ribosomal RNA
Source: RNAcentral
GCUCAGGACGAACGCUGGCGGCGUGCCUAAUACAUGCAAGUCGAGCGGACCGAUGGGAGCUUGCUCCUUUAGGUUAGCGGCGGACGGGUGAGUAACACGUGGGCAACCUGCCCUGCAGACUGGGAUAACUUCGGGAAACCGGAGCUAAUACCGGAUAACACCGAAAACCGCAUGGUUUUCGGUUGAAAGGCGGCUUUUAGCUGUCACUGCAGGAUGGGCCCGCGGCGCAUUAGCUAGUUGGUGAGGUAACGGCUCACCAAGGCGACGAUGCGUAGCCGACCUGAGAGGGUGACCGGCCACACUGGGACUGAGACACGGCCCAGACUCCUACGGGAGGCAGCAGUA